AAGAGUUCCAGGAGACGAUUUGGAGCGAAAUAAGGGUUCUAGAAAAAGGUUUCCAACACCAAAAAGAAUAAAGGUCUAUAUUUAAGAACAUGUUUUCUAUUACUUUAAUUUGUGUUGGUUUAUUAGUUGCUUUGAUGAGCAGCUGAAUCUAGUUAUUCUUGUUUAGCUAGAUGAAGCUUCCAACUAUGAAUAGUUCAAUGUUUAUGGAUUAAGUUUAGUUGGUAAAAAUUGAUUGUGUUUGAUUUGCAUUACCUAGCAUGCUAUUGGUUGUUUCUCUAAUUGCUUGAUUGCAUGUUCUGUGUAGCUUAGUGACCAUUAACUGCAUGAACUUGUUUACCUAAUGAUUUAGUGAACAUUGAAUUGUUAGAGCUAGGAUUGACCAAUCUUAGUUAGUAAUUAGAGUAAAUAAGCUUAGCUGUGCUAGAGAAUGUGUAUUGUGACCAUAAUUGUGUUUAUAUUACAAACCUUACAUAGCAUAUUUACAUUCAUAAUUAGUUAUGUGUUUAAUUAUGUUUGAACAUACAUGGUUUGACAUGAAUUAGUUAAUUAUUGGUAAAGUUAGAACUAAAUUACUAAUACAACUAAAAACCAACUUAAUAAUCCGUAAUCAUUAGCUAGCCAUAAGGAAGAAGUGGAUUCAAACUAAACAAGAGUGUGUUUUUACUUAUUGAAUUUGCCUUAAGUUCAUCUGAUCUUGUAAAAUCAGAUAAAACCCCUUUUAAACUUGUUAAUAAUUAGGUUAAUUUAAUAGUAAGUAAAUUAAUUAGAGCACCGUUCCCUGUGAUCGACACCCGACUUACCCAAGCUAUACUGUAAUCCGACUAGGUACACUGCCUAUAAGUGCAUAGUUAGUUAAGUUUGUUAGGUUAUAAAUAUUAAAAUUAGUGAGUACUUUUGUGCACAUCAAGUUUUUGGCACCGUUGCCGGGGAACGACUUAGUUUUUAGCUUAUUUAUUUGCAUUAAAUUAAUCGAUCCUUCUUGUGGAGUAAAAACCAGAAAAAGUUGAUUUUUCUGCAAAAUAAUUUUUUUUUCUGUCAGUCACAGAGUCCACGACGUGGCCAGAUACCUGCCACGACCUGGACUAUUAAAAAACUAAAAUUUUAGUUGUUAGUUGGUUUUUCUUAUUUUAGUUUAGUUUUAUGUUUUUAGUUUAGCAAGUUACAGGAGUUCAUGGCUAGAAGCUCAAACACACCCUUGGUGCCACCACUUGAAGAUCUCGAGUCUGCAAUUCACAAGAAAAAGACGCCCUUAUAAGAAUUGAAGUCAGCUUUUUGAAGGAAGUCGGGAAAGAAGACAGGAGAGUCAAGUUCAUCCGCGAGGCACAAGAGCAAUCUUGAGCAUUUGGAUCAUACGCCCGUCCAAACCGAGUCCAAAAGCGAUACCGAGCCGGAAUUUGAAGAACACACAAGCGAACCUGAGAACGAGCCAAGGAACGAGAUGGUAGCAAUUGAAGAAAUGUCCAUGGGAGCUUACAAGAAGCGGAUCCGAGAAGAUGUGGGUCCCGGUUUAGUCCAACCCGCAAUACCUGUCACUGCCACAUUCGAGCUGAAGGGACACAUAUUGACAGCACUGAAGGACAUUCCAUUUUUCGGGAAGGAUCAUGAGGAUGCUUUUAAGCAUCUAGACGAAGUCAACGACAUUGCGGAUUACUUCAAUGUCCCAAAUGUCACCAGAAAUACAGUCUUGCUUAGGAUGCUUCCCAUCACUUUCAAAGGAGCUGCUAAGGAGUGGUUAAAAGCACUUCCACCGGGUACAAUUACCACUUGGGCUCAAAUGCGUGAGCAAUUCCUGGACCAGUUUUGCCCGCCAUCCAAGAUAGCCAAACUCAAGAAGGCAAUAGCCAACUUUGAGCAACAGCCGGGGGAGUCAUUAUACGAAGCAUGGGAGCGGUACAAGGGCUUGCUCAGAAAUUGCCCUCAGCAUGAUCUAAAUGUGCAACAAGAGAUGUCAAUCUUUUAUGAUGGGGUCAACGUUAUGACAAGACAACUCCUUGAUUCUCAAGGACCUUUGAAAAAGAAAAAUCCAAGGGAGGUCAAGGAGCUAAUUGAAGAAUUCGCGAAGCACUCUCGCAAAUACCACAACCUUAGGCAAGAUGGAAUCAAAGGUGGUGGAGGGGCCCAAACUGAAGAAAUAGCAGCUGUAAUGGCCAUGCUGAAUAAUAUGGAUCGAAGGAUAACACAAAUGGACUAGUCAAUACAUGCCAUAAGAGUGGGUGGCGAGAGAGGUAGUGGUCCACACUUGACCAAGGACUGCAAUGUAGAUGAGCUUAGGAACAGCAAAGCUCAAGUGUGCUACUCUAGUGGGGAUAAGUUUGAUGAGGACUGGAGAAAACCGAAGAAGGAGUGGCUGCCAUAUGAAGAGUAUAAGAAGCAAAAAGAAGAGAAGUAUAGGUAGACAUGUCGAGGCUUUUAUCAAAAGGAGCAGCCACCAGCCGAGAAGAAACCCGAUAUAGAGACCAUUUUGAUGAAGUUUAUGGAAGCUUCGGAAAAGAGAUACGAUGCCACUGAUACUGCUAUUAUGGAACAACAAACUUUGAUAAAGAAUCAGCAAGCCUCCAUCCAUAACCUUGAAGUACAAUUUGGUCAACUAGCCACUCUGGUUCAUGAAAAAUUGUCCCCGAAGAAUCCUGAAGUAAAGAGCCAAUCUCAUGUAAUGGCCAUCGAUACUGAAGAAGAUGCAAUCUCUGAGUUCCUAGAGGCAUUGGAAGAAGAACCACGACAGCCCGAUCCAAAACCCAAGAAGUCAAAGUUCGAAAGUGAAAAAGUUGCUGAACCACCUUCGCCACGACGUGUCACUACUCUGGCCACGACGUGGCGCAUGCCUGAUCAAAAAAUUCUUUGAACCCGUUCCAGUUUAUCAGCCACCUUUGCCAUUUCCAACCCGAGCUGCACUUAGUCUACUGGAGAAGGAGCAUAUAGAGUUUGUAAAGCAUGUGAAGGGGAUCCCGAUUAAUACCCCAUUUGUCGAGUCCUUAUCCAAAACUACCGAAAACCAGAAAUUACUGCAAGAUUUGAUAGAAACUCGCAUGAAAUUAAAGAAGCAGUCUAAGGUGGUUCUAAGUGAACAAACCUUAAAAGCCGUGUUAGGAGAGACACCAGAAAAGAUGGGGGAUCCUGGACGCCUCACUCUUCCGUGUGAGUUUGGUAAUAAAAUGAAGGUUAAUGCUUUAGCUGAUUCUGGUGCUAGCAUUAAUUUGAUGACUUUUUCAUUUUAUCAAAAAUUAGAAAUUCAGAAGAUGAAGGCUACAAAAAUGAAGAUUCACAUGGCGAAUCAUUCAGUGACACAACCCCGGGGCACCGUGGAGGAUAUUUUGGUGAAAAUUGGAAAAUUUGUUUUUCCAAUAGACUUUGUAGUUUUGGAUAUGACGGAAGAUCCCGAUGUUCCAAUAAUCCUUGGUCGUCCAUUGCUUAACACUGUUGGAGCACUUGUUGAUAUUCGCGAGUCUAAGCUCACUUUGAGGGUAGGAGAUGAACAAGAAGUUUUGGAGUACAAGAUGACUUCCAAGAGGAUCAUGCUCAAGAAGAGGUGUUCACAAUUAAUGAAGACAAUGAACUAGAAGAACUGGAAAAGCUUAUGGAAGAAGAGAUCAAGGCAGUUCAUCAAGUCAAAAGAACAAAACCGAGGGCAUCUGUUCCAUAUUUGAUUGAAGUCAUAGCUUACAAGAGUCCGCCUUCUUGGGUGAGCAAAGAGGAUGAGGAUAUGACAAGUGAUGAAGAGGAGGUCACUUCAAAAGUGACAAAGCCGGUGGUGAAAGGGGAGGAGGAUGCUAUGGAGUGCAAGGAACAAACUAAGGGCACAAAACGCAAGCUUGAAGAAGAGGGCAAGGCUAAAAAGGAGAAUUUAAAGAAGGCAUAUAAAAGGCGAGUUCAAGCUUACAAGAGGCGAUUCAAGGAACAAAAGAUCUUGGUGGUGGACUCUUCAGAAGAUUCAACGUAGAAGGCACAGAGUCUAGCUGAAGACACCAAGAAAAAGAAGCGCUUCUCGGGAGGCAACCCGAGCUUGGUUUGUAUUUUCUUUUCUUUUAACUUUUUAGUUUUUAAUUAGGAAAGAUAUCAACUCAUCAUCUAAUAACUGAUACUUAGUAAAGAAUUAGCUGUGGGAACUUUAAUUAAUAAAUGAGAUGCAAAGUAGUUAGUUAAAAUUUAUGAUUUUGAAAAAUUAUGCGAUCAGGCAUAUGCCACGACGUGGGCUAAUAUAGCCACGUCAUGGUAAAAAAAUGAAAACACGGGAACAGAUGACAGUUUCAAAGUCCACGACGUGGGCAUAGCCAGCCAUGACGUGGCCUUUAAAAAGUCACGGGGGGACCAUUUCCUUAAAACCCUUUGACCAAUAAUCCCCAUUCCCAUUUGAUACUGCCGCACGAACGGGAACAAAGUCCCCAUAGCCAAGUUCUUAAUUUGCUUCCAAUUUCCUUGCAAGUUCUUGUCAAUUAACUCUACUUGGUAUGUGUUCUACUCAUUAAUUAUAGUUAGUUCUUACAAUUUGAAAUUUUCAUGGUUAGGGUUUAUGUGAUUUACGAAAUUGGUUGAAACUAGUUGUUAAUUCUAGGUUGCAUGUUCCUUAAAUGUCCAUAGGAACAAACCCCAAGCAUUAAUUUUGGUAGAAAUGGCAUACAAAAUGACCGAUUCACAUACAGGGUUCGACUACGGUCCACGACAUGGCGAGGGACCAAAAGUGACAAAAUGUAGAACAUGGGAGACUUGAAAGAAAAGAAAAGAAUAAAUCCACGAAAGAUACUGAAUUCACGACGUGGCCAAGUCAGCCACGACUUGGCAUGAGGAUUCUAGAAGAUAAACAUCGCGAUUCGGAGGAUUCCUUGUCCGGUACGGAUAACUUGAAGCCCACGACGUGGCCUGGAUAGCCACGACGUGGCACGGGUUUUUGGAGUUUAUUUAAGUGUUCCUGAUUAUUACGAAAAAAGAACCUUUUGGCUGAAGGAAAGAGUUCCAGGAGACGAUUUGGAGCGAAAGAAGGGUUCUGGAAGAAGGUUUCCAACACCAAAAAGAAUAAAGGUCUAUAUUUAAGAACAUGUUUUCUAUUACUUUAAUUGGUUUUGGUUUAUUAGUUGCUAUGAUGAGUAGCUGAAUCUAGCUACUUUUGUUUAGCUAGAUGAAGCUUCUAACUUAUAAAUAGCUCAAUUUUUAUGGAUUAAGUUUAGUUGGUAAAAAUUGCUUGUGUUUGAUUUGCAUUACCUAGCAUGCUAUUGUUUAUUUCUCUAAUUGCUUGAUUGCAUGUUCUGUGUAGCUUAGUGACCAUUAAUUGCAUUAACUUGUUACCUAAUGAUUUAGUGAACAUUGAAUUGUUAGAGUUAGGAUUGACCAAUCUUAGUUAGUAAUUAGAGUAAAUAAGCUUAGUUGUGCUAGAGAACGUGUAUUGCGACCAUAAUUGCGUUUAUAUUACAAACCUUACAUAGCAUAUUUACAUUCAUAAUUAGUUUUGUGUUUAAUUAUGUGUGAACUACAUGGUUUGACAUGAAUUAGUUAAUUAUUGGUAAAGUUAGAACUAAAUUACUAAUACAACUAAAAACCAACUUAAUAAUCCGUAAUCAUUAGCUAGCCAUAAGGAAGAAGUGGAUUCAAACUAAACAAGAGUGUCUUUUUACUUAUUGAAUUUGCUUUAGGUUCAUCAUAUCUUGUAAAAUCAGAUAAAACCCCUUUUAAAAUUGUUAAUAAUUAUGUUAAUUUAAUAGUAAGUAAAUUAAUUAGAGCACCAUUCCCUGUGAUCGACACCGACUUACCCAAGCUAUACUGUAAUCCGACUAGGUACACUGCCUAUAAGUGCAUAGUUAGUUAAGUUUGUUAGGUUAUA
RNAcentral lists this long non-coding RNA (5809 nucleotides) under Lactuca sativa (garden lettuce). Its description in RNAcentral is "long non-coding RNA (LSAT_LNC004775)". The record is from RNAcentral. Lineage: Eukaryota; Viridiplantae; Streptophyta; Magnoliopsida; Asterales; Asteraceae.